This 328-nucleotide unclassified non-coding RNA is filed under the name Hevea brasiliensis (rubber tree). Lineage: Eukaryota; Viridiplantae; Streptophyta; Magnoliopsida; Malpighiales; Euphorbiaceae. The record is from RNAcentral.
AAUAAGAAAUUCAUGCAUUUUGGGAUCUAUAAGGUGCUUCCCUUUGAACUAGACAGGAUAGAGUUCUCUUUUUUUUUAAUACUAAUCCUUUGCUUCUUCUCAAUAAUCUUACCAUCCCUUUUGUGGCUAUUUCAUUUGGAGCGCAAUGGGGCAUAUGCUUGAGAUGCAACUUCCAUACUUGUGUAGUGCUGUAAUAUUUUUCUUAUCCAUAUUUGUGUAGUGCUGUAAUAUUUUUCUUAGGCAAAUAUGUUAGGAAGUUUCUUGUUACUUGCAAACCUAGUUUGUGUUUAAAAAAAAAAAAUAAAUAAUAGAGAAGAACGAGGUUGGC